RNAcentral lists this transfer RNA (58 nucleotides) under Apaloderma vittatum (bar-tailed trogon). It matches the Rfam family "tRNA", at positions 8 to 63 of the family's 71-position model. From Rfam's summary of the family: Transfer RNA (tRNA) molecules are approximately 80 nucleotides in length. The record is from Rfam by way of RNAcentral. Lineage: Eukaryota; Metazoa; Chordata; Aves; Trogoniformes; Trogonidae.
UAACAUAGUGGUUAGAGCAUGAGACUCUUAAUCUCAGGGUCGUGGGUUCAAGCCCCAC